GACGAACGCUGGCGGCGUGCUUAACACAUGCAAGUCGAACGGAAAGGCCCUGCUUUUGUGGGGUGCUCGAGUGGCGAACGGGUGAGUAACACGUGAGUAACCUGUCCUUGACUUUGGGAUAACUUCAGGAAACUGGGGCUAAUACCGGAUAGGAGCUCUUGCUGCAUGGUGGGGGUUGGAAAGUUUCGGCGGUUGGGGAUGGACUCGCGGCUUAUCAGCUUGUUGGUGGGGUAGUGGCUUACCAAGGCUUUGACGGGUAGCCGGCCUGAGAGGGGGACCGGCCACAAUGGGACUGAGGUACGGCCCAGACUCGAACGGGAGGCAACGGGGGAGAGUAUUACACAGUAGGCGGGAGCCUGAUGCGACAACGCCGCGUGCGGGAAGACGGGCUUCGGGUUGUGAACCGCUGUCGCCUGUGACGAAGCGUGAGUGACGGUAAUGGGUAAAGAAGCACCGGCUAACUACGUG
RNAcentral lists this ribosomal RNA (468 nucleotides) under uncultured bacterium. RNAcentral describes it as "partial 16S ribosomal RNA". It matches the Rfam family "Bacterial small subunit ribosomal RNA", at positions 28 to 507 of the family's 1533-position model. The record is from RNAcentral.